CAUACACAAUACACAUAUUUAUUCUUUAUUUACUUCUUUUGUUUAUUUUUCCUUUGUUAUCUUUUAUCUUAUUGUAUUUUAUUUGGAUCUUUUCACGACCAUUUAUUCAAGAUUGUUAUCCUAUUGGAUAUAGCUGUUUUGCACAUAACAAAUAUCAUAAAACGAAUACAAAUUUAUCAAAAUAAAAAUGUUUUUUAAUGCAUAGACAUGUUUUCUAUACUAAACACAAUAUCGAUCCAUUAUAUUUAUGUCCUAGUAUAUAAAGGAUGUUGAAUUUUUAGGCCUACGUUAUUGUUGGACAUUAAAGAAAUCGCCCAUAUUACAAGUUCACAUUCAGGCACUCUGCAUGUAGCCAUGUACAUCUAUCUAUCUAUCUAUCUGCAUGUACAUCUAUCUAUCUAUCUAUCCAGGUGGGGCAAAUCUGGACACAUGUCAUCUAUACUAAUAAAGACUGAAGUUUCGUGUGCUUUAAUGGGCUCUAAAAAGUUGAACAAGUUAUUAAGCCCAUUUUUCUCUAAACCUAGCAAUCUCCUUCUAGCCGUAUCUAGCCGUAUGUGACCUUUCGCAACCUCUCUUCAGCUUAGUUCGCCGUCACUGCUCCUUCCGUUUUGAAGACUAUGGCACAUCCCCUUCCCAAUAACUACAUCAGUAAUAAUCGAACAACACAGUUACAAUUUCAAGAUGCCCCUCUCUUCAUCCUCUCCUGCUUCGCUAUAUAUAUACGGAGCUCACCCCUUACACGAAGUCCCGAUUAUCACUCCUAAUCCCACAAAAACCACAUCAGUUAUUUCUCAAAAAGGCUCCAAAUCUAUCGUCGCCAACCUUCCAACUGUUUUCUCCUGAUACGUUGUCGCUGGUGUAUGUCUGAGGGGAAGAUGCUUUUAAACUGUAUUUUUUCAUCUGCUCAUAUCUUUUAUUUGAUCAGAUAUCAGCUAUGAUCUUUAUCUGUGAUGAAUCCAUAUUUUAAUAUUAAAUUCAUUGGUAUGUGUUAUAUGUUUUGUAUCAAGAUCAUGUUUCAAACAUAAUUUUUGGUUUGCAGGAAUGUGCUAAUUAAUUAGGAGCAGAUCUUCUACCAAAGAUGCAUGGUUAUGAAGAAGUAUGGUGGAUCAGACAAUGAGUAUGAGGAUGAAAAUUAACUCCAAAGGAAGACUGGAGUAUCUUGAAUUGCGCCAGAAGGCAACGAGUCCAUCAGGUUGCUUCCAUCAUUGAACUCAUAAGAUCUAACGAUGCCUACAAUGUAAAUUGUAAUGCCGAGUUUAAGCAGACCUUUGAAGAGGUUUGGUGUAUAACUGACAUCUGUAUUUCUUAUGAUUUCUAUGUUUCUUUAUUUCGACAAUGAUCUAUAAGAUUGAGCGUUUUUUAUCCGCUUACGUGUAGCUUAUCUAUGUUAUCUCAAACUAUUUACGGUGAUCUUUGAAUGAUAAGUCUCCAUCAUUAUCGUUUUGUGGUAUGUUUAUUUCAGUUGAACUUUUAUUCAAAAAAUUUGACUACUUUUUGUUCUCGACCUCAUCUUUAUAAUUUCGUAAUACAAUUUUAUACUUUUAUAAUUUCAAGAUCAAAACUUCAGCACAGAUUUCUGAACGGAGAACAAUAUUCUUUGACCAAGAAGAGUGAUAUUCGUCGGUGGACUCCAGCAGGCCAACCGGUUGUGUGAAUAUGUAACGAUGAUGAAAUUCAUGGAAGAAAGUUGGCAAAAGAAAAUUAAUACUUUGCAAUCCAGUAUGUCCACUACAAAGAGAUGACUAAAGGCCGAGGAUUCAGAUAGAAACUUGGAUGCAUCUGAGAAGGCUAGCGAUGUCCACUGAUUUCUCUAGAAUUGGUGUGACUACAGGAGGACCCUUGGGAGAACUAGAAGUCUGGUUGUGGGAUUAAGUGGGAUAAAGCCGGUUAGCAAAAAUAUUCAGUAAAGAGAUCAAGUGUGUGUUGAUGAAACUGAAAUCUGGUAAAGUGGAGUUACACUUGAAUCUAUAAAGGAAUCUUAGGAUGCUGAAAAAGAUGUUUGAGACAUGGAAAAAGUAUUAUAUGGAGGAAGACCGAGGGAAACAAAACGAUACGUAGCAAAUUUGGGAGUGAAGAAACUGGUGGUUCAGUGGAGAAGAUGAAGACGAAGUGGUGGGAGAAGUUAAGGAGUACCAGAUACAUACCUGUUUUUUCCUCGAGAUGCAAAUCUUUUUUUAACACGUUUUGUGUCAUUUGAGGUUUUGGUUUUGUUACUGAUAAAGGUGAAAUGGCUCCAUCGUACUAAAAAGGAGUCACGUUUCAGUAAACUUUUUAAUAUUAAACAUAUAUCUAUAAUGUCACAGGAUCCAAAAUCAUGUGGGUGUGAAUUGUUUUUGUUAUCUCGAAAAACCAAUGAAUUUUGACAUCAGAUUUUUAAAGACUUUGUAUCAUAAUAAUAAAGAUUUACAACAAAAAAAUAUCAUCUCAUAGUUGUAAACCGUUAUUGUUAAUUUGGUUACGAAAAUUGCAAAACUCUUCGAAACAUAUUUAUAUGAAACUUUUGCUCAAACUAAAUGUUCAAUUAUACACAUACGACAUUAGUUAAGAUUUUAAAUAUGUAAAAGAUGUAUCAAAAUAAUUUAUAUAAAUGGUUUCCCAAUAUUAAAAAUGGGAAAACAAAAGACUCUAAUUAGCCAAAAUGAAGGAGUACUAAAUACAUAUGAAAAACUAAGGGGUUGAUUGGUAGCGAAUGUAGGUUUAAUUUUUUCUUCUUUAAAAUUGAAGUUGUUGAUUUUACAACUAUAGUUUUAGAUUUUAUUGAUGUAGAAUUAUUUUAAAGAUUUAAGUCACUAAAUAUAAAGUUGUAGAAAAAUUGAUUUUUAGAGCCAAAAUAUGUCAUUUUUAAGAUUUUGGGUUGUAGCUUUAAUUGUUUUUAAUAAAAUUUGAUUCUUUUGAUUUUAUUGAUGUAGAACACUGACAACUAUCACCAAUCACCUCAUAAACCACGGUCAUACCUUUCAAAUUUUAAAUAGAAAAAAAUUAUAAAUAUUAUUUCUCUUGACAAAACAGAUAAACUCCCAAAUUUUUAUAAUUAAUUUUUAUUAAAAAUUACUUAUAAAUAUACAUGCAUAGAUAACUAAACAAAGUUCAACAAAUGCUAAAAUAAUUUACGAAACAUAAUUAGUAAAACACUAAAAAUAAAAAAAAAAUUAUUAAUU
Long non-coding RNA from Brassica napus (rape), 3158 nucleotides. RefSeq lists it as uncharacterized. The record is from RefSeq and is a predicted model, not a curated record. The transcript has 3 exons. NCBI's taxonomy places the organism in Eukaryota, Viridiplantae, Streptophyta, Magnoliopsida, Brassicales, Brassicaceae.